GUGCCAGCUGCCGCGGUAAUACCGGCAGCUCAAGUGAUGUCCCAUAUUAUUGGGCCUAAAGCGUCCGUAGCUGGCCUCGCAAGUCCGUCGGGAAAUCCAUCAGCCCAACUGAUGGGCGUCCGGCGGAAACUACAAGGCUUGGGACCGGAAGGCUCGAGGGGUACGUCUGGGGUAGGAGUGAAAUCCCGUAAUCCCGAACGGACCACCGAUGGCGAAAGCACUUCGAGAAAACGGAUCCGACAGUGAGGGACGAAAGCUAAGAUCGCGAACCGGAUUAGAUACCCUAGUAGUCU
Molecule: ribosomal RNA, 293 nt
Filed under: uncultured bacterium
Lineage: Bacteria
Description: partial 16S ribosomal RNA
Rfam family: Archaeal small subunit ribosomal RNA
Source: RNAcentral